GGGGGUCAUGCCGCUGCUUCUGGGACCUGCUUGAGAUUUAUACAGAUGGGAAAACGACUGUAAAGAGAGGUGAGGUGACUAGCCUAAGGUCACCCCGGGGUUCAGUAGCAAAGUCAAGAACAGCAGAUGAAGGAAGAACAAUAGCAAGAAAGAAAGAGAAUGGAAUUGAUGUCUCCAUUAGAGAGCACAAGGUGUGUGUCUCCACCACAUCAAGCAGCAGCAACUCUGAGAACAAAAUGGUGGUUGGAGCUGCAAAUUAAAGUUACGGUACACAGAAAAU
Chrysemys picta bellii (western painted turtle) is the source of this 280-nucleotide long non-coding RNA. RefSeq lists it as uncharacterized. The record is from RefSeq and is a predicted model, not a curated record. Lineage: Eukaryota; Metazoa; Chordata; Testudines; Emydidae.